RNAcentral lists this ribosomal RNA (390 nucleotides) under uncultured bacterium. Its description in RNAcentral is "bacterial SSU rRNA". It matches the Rfam family "Bacterial small subunit ribosomal RNA", at positions 29 to 408 of the family's 1533-position model. The record is from RNAcentral.
AACGAACGCUGGCGGCGCGCCUAAUACAUGCAAGUCGAGCGAGAAGGUGUAGCAAUACACUUGUAAAGCGGCGAACGGGUGAGGAAUACAUGGGUAACCUACCCUCGAGUGGGGAAUAACUAGCCGAAAGGUUAGCUAAUACCGCAUACGAUUCCAGGACUUCGGUCCUGGAAGGAAAGCACUACCGUGGGUAGUGCGCUCCUGGAUGGGCUCAUGUCCUAUCAGCUUGUUGGGAGGUAAAGGCUCACCAAGGCUUCGACGGGUAGCUGGUCUGAGAGGACGAUCAGCCACACUGGCACUGCGACACGGGCCAGACUCCUACGGGAGGCAGCAGUAAGGAAUAUUGCGCAAUGGGGCGAAAGCCUGACGCAGCGACGCCGCGGUGGGGGA